GACGAACGCUGGCGGCGUGCUUAACACAUGCAAGUCGAACGGAAAGGCCCUGCUUUUGUGGGGUGCUCGUGAGGCGAACGGGUGAGUAAAACGUGAGUAACCUGCCCUUGACUUUGGGAUAACUUCAGGAAACUGGGGCUAAUACCGGAUAGGAGCUCCUGAUGCAUGGUGGGGGUUGGAAAGUUUCGGCGGUUGUGGAUGGACUCGCGGCUUAUCAGCUUGUUGGUGGGGUAGUGGCUUACCAAGGCUUUGACGGGUAGCCGGCCUGAGAGGGUGACCGGCGACAUUGGGACUGAGAUACGGCCCAGACGCCUACGGGAGGCAGCAGUGGGGAAUAUUGCAGAAUGGGCGGAAGCCUGAUGCAGCAACGCCGCGUGCGGGAUGACGGCCUUCGGGUUGUAAACCGCUUUCGCCGUUGACGAAGCGUGAGUGACGGUAAUGGGUAAAGAAGCACCGGCUAACUACGUG
Molecule: ribosomal RNA, 468 nt
Filed under: uncultured bacterium
Lineage: Bacteria
Description: partial 16S ribosomal RNA
Rfam family: Bacterial small subunit ribosomal RNA
Source: RNAcentral